GAUGAACGCUGGCGGCGUGCCUAAUACAUGCAAGUCGAGCGAACAGACGAGGAGCUUGCUCCUUUGACGUUAGCGGCGGACGGGUGAGUAACACGUGGGUAACCUACCUAUAAGACUGGGAUAACUUCGGGAAACCGGAGCUAAUACCGGAUAAUAUUUCGAACCGCAUGGUUCGAUAGUGAAAGAUGGCUUUGCUAUCACUUAUAGAUGGACCUGCGCCGUAUUAGCUAAUUGGUAAGGUAACGGCUUACCAAGGCAACGAUACGUAGCCGACCUGAGAGGGUGAUCGGCCACACUGGAACUGAGACACGGUCCAGACUCCUACGGGAGGCAGCAGUAGGGAAUCUUCCGCAAUGGGCGAAAGCCUGACGGAGCAACGCCGCGUGAGUGAUGAAGGUCUUCGGAUCGUAAAACUCUGUUAUUAGGGAAGAACAAACGUGUAAGUAACUGUGCACGUCUUGACGGUACCUAAUCAGAAAGCCACGGCUAACUACGUG
This 497-nucleotide ribosomal RNA is filed under the name uncultured bacterium. RNAcentral's name for it is "partial 16S ribosomal RNA". It matches the Rfam family "Bacterial small subunit ribosomal RNA", at positions 28 to 507 of the family's 1533-position model. The record is from RNAcentral.